RNAcentral lists this ribosomal RNA (253 nucleotides) under uncultured bacterium. RNAcentral's name for it is "partial 16S ribosomal RNA". It matches the Rfam family "Bacterial small subunit ribosomal RNA", at positions 524 to 776 of the family's 1533-position model. The record is from RNAcentral.
UACAGAGGGCUCAAGCGUUGUUCGGAUUCAUUGGGCGUAAAGGGUGCGUAGGCGGCGCGGUAAGUCGGGUGUGAAAUCUCGGGGCUUAACUCCGAAACUGCAUUCGAUACUGCCGUGCUUGAGGACUGGAGAGGAGACUGGAAUUUACGGUGUAGCGGUGAAAUGCGUAGAUAUCGUAAGGAAGACCAGUGGCGAAGGCGGGUCUCUGGACAGUUCCUGACGCUGAGGCACGAAGGUCAGGGGAGCAAACGGG